This 373-nucleotide ribosomal RNA is filed under the name uncultured organism. Its description in RNAcentral is "partial 16S ribosomal RNA". It matches the Rfam family "Bacterial small subunit ribosomal RNA", at positions 527 to 896 of the family's 1533-position model. The record is from RNAcentral.
GUAGGUGGCAAGCGUUGUCCGGAAUUAUUGGGCGUAAAGCGCGCGCAGGCGGUUCUUUAAGUCUGAUGUGAAAGCCCACGGCUCAACCGUGGAGGGUCAUUGGAAACUGGAGGACUUGAGUACAGAAGAGGAAAGCGGAAUUCCACGUGUAGCGGUGAAAUGCGUAGAGAUGUGGAGGAACACCAGUGGCGAAGGCGGCUUUCUGGUCUGUAACUGACGCUGAGGCGCGAAAGCGUGGGGAGCAAACAGGAUUAGAUACCCUGGUAGUCCACGCCGUAAACGAUGAGUGCUAAGUGUUAGGGGGGUUUCCGCCCCCCUUAGUGCUGCAGCUAACGCAUUAGGCACUCCGCCUGGGAGUACGGCCGCAAGGCUG